RNAcentral lists this long non-coding RNA (1411 nucleotides) under Eucalyptus grandis. RNAcentral's name for it is "long non-coding RNA (EGRA_LNC005943)". Lineage: Eukaryota; Viridiplantae; Streptophyta; Magnoliopsida; Myrtales; Myrtaceae. The record is from RNAcentral.
ACAAUUGUUGCUAAAAUAUACCCUUGACUUAUUUAAAUUGACAGCUUGUCCGGAUGCAUAGCAAUACUGGUUAAGUGUAAGUGUCAAACUCUGACAUUCCACUAAAGUUCCAUCCAGAAAAAAGAUAACAUCGUCAGCAAAAAGUAAGUGAGAUAGCUUAGGACAAAACCUGUUCAGCUGUAUGCCUUUGAUGCUGCCUUCUGCAAUUUCUUUUUUCAUCAGCCAUGUUAAUACAUUUGAGAUUAAGAUGAAUAAAUAUGGCGAAAGGGGGUCGCCUUGCCUGAGACCUCUCGAGGGGUUGAAAAAAAGGGUGGGUUCUCCAUUAAUCUUCCCAUUGAAUGUCACCGUUGAUAUGCAUUGCAUGAUAAGGGACACCCACUUGGCACAGAAACCCAUUUUCAGCAUACAAUCCCGUACAAAAUCCUAUUCAAUUCAGUCAUAUGCUUUCUGCAUGUCGAGUUUUAAUACUGCCUGAUAUUUUUUCUUUCUCUUUGUGAUGCGCAGCUGAUGCAACACUUCCUACACUAUUAAGAUGUUGUCCUGUAUCUGUCUGCCUUGAGCAAAGGCGCUUUGCUCUGGUUCUAUAAUAUCUGGCAGCCACUUUUUUAAUCGGUUUGCUAAUAUCUUUGAGAUAAUUUUAUAACUGAAAUUGCAUAAACUGAUGGGUUUGAAUUGGAAAAUUGUCUUGGGAUUUUUUACUUUGGGAAUCAAGGAAAUAUGUGUUUGAUUAAGGACAGGAUCCAGAGUACCUGUGUUGAAAAAGUUCUGCACUAAGUGGAACAGGUCAAGCUUUAGAAUUUCCCAUGAUUUUUGAUAGAAAAGCCCGUUGAAACCGUCAGAGCCAGGAGCUUUUAAAGCUCCUAAUUGAAAGACUACUGCAUGAACUUCCUCCAUCGUUGGUUUAGCCACUAGAUCUUCAUUGAUGUUCUCACUAACAGGAGAAAGACAUUGGUUAAGGACAGGCUGGUAGUUUCUCGGCCCUUCUGUUUUAUAUAAAUUUUUGUAAAAGGAUUGAAUAUGAUUUCUGAGUGCUACAGGAUCACGACACCAACUGUUGUCUUCCAUUUGCAGCAUUGUUAUGUUAUUUCUCUGCCUCCUUUGUACAGUUGUUGCAUGAAAGAAUCGGGUAUUUUUAUCACCCCAUUGCAGCCAUUUUAUAUGUGACCUCAUGCCCCAAAAUUGUUCUUCCCGUUUCCUCAGUGUCUCUCUAUCUGGUGUAUAAUACUUUGAACCUCCUUCCUGGUUGUAGACGGGUCUAAUUGAUUGGUUAUCUCUGUUAAAGUCUGAGUGAGCUCUUUUAUCCUCUUAGGUGCAUUGGCAAACUUCUAUUUGCUCCACUUUAUCAAUCCUUUUGAAGUCUCCUUUAGUUUCUCUGAGAAAUUGGCCUGUUGAGAAGCUAUUUGGCUCCAGG